GGUAAUUAGCUGCAGGUGAACCAGUAAGCCCAUAACGUGAUUAUAAUUUAUUGUGAAUAGGCCCUGGUUAUACAUUAUGUGUUAUUUGAGUUUGGGCCAGAUGUUUGUAUAUGGGUUUACUGUUUUGAUGAAAUUGGAAAAGAUAGGUAGACAUAUUGGAUAAUUUAGGCUUACUACGGGCCUCGGGGGCCUUAAGCUUACCUGGGCCCUAGUGCCGGUCCGGCCCAUGGAAACGGGUCGUGACAGUAAUAAAAAAAUCUUGGUUGAUUAGCUUAGUGUAUGUAGUAGUCUCACAUACCAAGAGUUAGGUUGAACGGACACGGUACACAAGAUACAAGAAUGUACAUAAUACGAUAAUUUUUAAAAAGUAGGACAUCCACACUCUUAUGAC
This 391-nucleotide long non-coding RNA is filed under the name Jatropha curcas. RNAcentral describes it as "long non-coding RNA (JCUR_LNC001753)". Lineage: Eukaryota; Viridiplantae; Streptophyta; Magnoliopsida; Malpighiales; Euphorbiaceae. The record is from RNAcentral.